This is a long non-coding RNA of Coffea eugenioides, 445 nucleotides long. RefSeq lists it as uncharacterized. The transcript has 2 exons. The record is from RefSeq and is a predicted model, not a curated record. NCBI's taxonomy places the organism in Eukaryota, Viridiplantae, Streptophyta, Magnoliopsida, Gentianales, Rubiaceae.
ACAUGGGUUCAUUAUUUGCACAGGGAUAGCAUUCUUGGCGUGGCUACCACGUUCAGGAACCAAAGGAGGAAAUGAUUAACAAAGUAAUGAUUGUAUCUACAGAAUCACGCUGCAUAUUUAAUCGAAUUGAUCCAAACCAUUACAACACAUUGUCACUGGGCCAAUUGAUGUUCUUAAAAUUGAGAAGAUGGGAUGACUAAAAAUGACUUCUGACAGAGUUUGAUUGGAAAUUGAUUGAACAGCAUCAAGAACACAAAUGCAGCUUCUUGACUCUUGUGCCAGCUAGAUAGCACAAGUCUUCAUCUUUUCUUUUCUUUCCUGCUUUUCCCUGAUGCAGUUUUAAUCAAAUUCCUUGUCCUAAAGUCCAUGUUCAUUGAAUAGCAAGAUUUGUAUGCGUGAGUUGGAACUGCUUUCACAAAUCCAUAGCACAAUUAUCCAUGCGUUU